This 22-nucleotide microRNA is filed under the name Lingula anatina. RNAcentral describes it as "Lan-Mir-5045_3p (mature (co-guide))". The record is from RNAcentral. Lineage: Eukaryota; Metazoa; Brachiopoda; Lingulata; Lingulida; Lingulidae.
UAGAGAUAGUCUUUUAGUCAUU